CCUACGGGAGGCAGCAGUGGGGAAUAUUGCACAAUGGGGGGAACCCUGAUGCAGCCAUGCCGCGUGAAUGAAGAAGGCCUUCGGGUUGUAAAGUUCUUUCGGUGACGAGGAAGGUUGAUAGGUUAAUAGCGUAUCAAAUUGACGUUAAUCACAGAAGAAGCACCGGCUAACUCCGUGCCAGCAGCCGCGGUAAUACGGGGGGUGCGAGCGUUAAUCGGAAUAACUGGGCGUAAAGGGCACGCAGGCGGUGACUUAAGUGAGAUGUGAAAGCCCCGGGCUUAACCUGGGAAUUGCAUUUCAUACUGGGUCGCUAGAGUACUUUAGGGAGGGGUAGAAUUCCACGUGUAGCGGUGAAAUGCGUAGAGAUGUGGAGGAAUACCGAAGGCGAAGGCAGCCCCUUGGGAAUGUACUGACGCUCAUGUGCGAAAGCGUGGGGAGCAAACAGGAUUAGAUACCCGAGUAGUC
RNAcentral lists this ribosomal RNA (465 nucleotides) under uncultured Actinobacillus sp. Its description in RNAcentral is "bacterial SSU rRNA". It matches the Rfam family "Bacterial small subunit ribosomal RNA", at positions 338 to 795 of the family's 1533-position model. Lineage: Bacteria; Pseudomonadati; Pseudomonadota; Gammaproteobacteria; Pasteurellales; Pasteurellaceae. The record is from RNAcentral.